GUCUACGGCCAUGCUACCCUGAAGAAGCCCUAUCCUGUCUGAUCUCGGAAGCUAAGCAGCGUUGGGUCUGGUUAGUACUUGGAUGGGAGACCACCUAGGAAGACCAGGUGCUGUCGGAG
RNAcentral lists this ribosomal RNA (119 nucleotides) under Pteropus alecto (black flying fox). The record is from RNAcentral. Lineage: Eukaryota; Metazoa; Chordata; Mammalia; Chiroptera; Pteropodidae.